GCUGAUAUGGCUUUCGGUUGGUGACGCCCUUGGUAAGGGUGGUCGGCAGUUCGAAUCUGCCUGCCAGCACCA
This 72-nucleotide transfer RNA is filed under the name Salmonella enterica subsp. enterica. RNAcentral's name for it is "tRNA-Thr". The record is from RNAcentral. Lineage: Bacteria; Pseudomonadati; Pseudomonadota; Gammaproteobacteria; Enterobacterales; Enterobacteriaceae.